GUAUGGAAUAUUGGACAAUGGACGCAAGUCUGAUCCAGCCAUGCCGCGUGAAGGAUUAAGGUCCUCUGGAUUGUAAACUUCUUUUAUAAGGGACGAAAAAAGGCUUUUCUAAGUCGUCUGACGGUACCUUAUGAAUAAGCACCGGCUAACUCCGUGCCAGCAGCCGCGGUAAUACGGAGGGUGCAAGCGUUAUCCGGAUUCACUGGGUUUAAAGGGUGCGUAGGCGGGCAGGUAAGUCAGUGGUGAAAUCCUAGAGCUUAACUCUAGAACUGCCAUUGAUACUAUCUGUCUUGAAUAUUGUGGAGGUAAGCGGAAUAUGUCAUGUAGCGGUGAAAUGCUUAGAUAUGACAUAGAACACCUAUUGCGAAGGCAGCUUACUACGCAUAUAUUGACGCUGAGGCACGAAAGCGUGGGGAUCAAACAGGAUUAGAUACCCUAGUAGUCC
RNAcentral lists this ribosomal RNA (445 nucleotides) under uncultured bacterium. RNAcentral's name for it is "partial 16S ribosomal RNA". It matches the Rfam family "Bacterial small subunit ribosomal RNA", at positions 354 to 796 of the family's 1533-position model. The record is from RNAcentral.